RNAcentral lists this ribosomal RNA (945 nucleotides) under uncultured archaeon. RNAcentral's name for it is "bacterial SSU rRNA". It matches the Rfam family "Archaeal small subunit ribosomal RNA", at positions 1 to 922 of the family's 1478-position model. The record is from RNAcentral.
UUCCGGUUGAUCCCGCCGGACCCUACUGCUAUCGGGGUGGGACUAAGACAUGCAAGUCGCGCGUCUCUAGGCCAUGGUAGAGACGCGGCAUACGGCUCAGUAACACGUGGCUAACCUACCCUUAGGACGGAGACAACCCCGGGAAACUGGGGACUAUCCCCGAUAGGUGAGGAGGCCUGGAAUGGUUCCUCGCCGAAAAGGCGUUGAAACCACGCCUUUCAGCGUCGCCUAAGGAUGGGGCCGCGGCCGAUCAGGUUGUUGGUGAGGCAACGGCUCACCAAGCCUAUAACCGGUACGGGCCGUGAGAGCGGGAGCCCGGAGAUGGGCACUGAGAUAAGGGCCCAGGCCCUACGGGGCGCAGCAGUCGCGAAAACUCCGCAAUGCGCGAAAGCGUGACGGGGCUACCCCGAGUGCCGUCCGCUGAGGAUGGCUUUUCCCCGGUGUAAUGAGCCGGGGGAAUAAGGAGAGGGCAAGUCUGGUGUCAGCCGCCGCGGUAAUACCAGCUCUCCGAGUGGUAGGGAUGAUUAUUGGGCUUAAAGCGUCCGUAGCCGGUCCGGCAAGUCUUCCGUUAAAUCCAGCGACCCAAUCGUUGGACUGCGGGAGAUACUGUUGGGCUAGGGGGCGGGAGAGGCCGACGGUAUUCUCGGGGUAGGGGUGAAAUCCUAUAAUCCCGGGAGGACCACCAGUGGCGUAGGCUGUCGGCUAGAACGCGCUCGACGGUGAGGGACGAAAGCUGGGGGAGCGAACCGGAUUAGAUACCCGGGUAGUCCCAGCUGUAAACGAUGCGGGCUAGGUGUUGGGGUGGCUACGGGCCACUUCAGUGCCGCAGGGAAGCCAUUAAGCCCGCCGCCUGGGGAGUACGGCCGCAAGGCUGAAACUUAAAGGAAUUGGCGGGGGAGCACCACAAGGCGUGAAGCUUGCGGUUCAAUUGGAGUCAACGCCGGG